GACGAAGGUGGCGAGCGUUAUUCGGAAUCACUGGGCAUAAAGGGCGCGCAGGCGGCCUGGUAAGUUUCGUGUGAAAGCCCUCGGCUCAACCGAGGAACCGCACGGGAAACUGCCGGGCUGGAGUGCUGGAGGGGUGUGCGGAAUUCCUGGUGGAGCGGUGAAAUGCGUAGAUAUCAGGAGGAACGCCGGCGGCGAAAGCGACACAUUGGACAGCAACUGACGCUGAGGCGCGAAAGCUAGGGGAGCGAACGGG
This 253-nucleotide ribosomal RNA is filed under the name uncultured bacterium. RNAcentral's name for it is "partial 16S ribosomal RNA". It matches the Rfam family "Bacterial small subunit ribosomal RNA", at positions 524 to 776 of the family's 1533-position model. The record is from RNAcentral.